Molecule: long non-coding RNA, 372 nt
Filed under: Elaeis guineensis (African oil palm)
Lineage: Eukaryota; Viridiplantae; Streptophyta; Magnoliopsida; Arecales; Arecaceae
Description: long non-coding RNA (EGUI_LNC074610)
Source: RNAcentral
CCUGCACUCCUAGGGCCGAUCUAGGUUAGUUUCGAAACUCCUUGUCAUUUUCUUGUCCUUUCUUCUUCGUAUUCUAUUCGUUUAGCUUCCUUGAGGGUCUGUUUGUUAUUUUUCCUAAUUUUUUCAAGAUUUUGUAGCUUCCAUUUGAUCCAAAAUAUCUUUUGAUAUCUCCUCUUCUAGCAGUUCUAGGAGUUCGUCAGCCCCAGUUCCCCAAAGUCCUGGUACCAUAGACGAACCCGUAGCUAGGAUUGAACCUUGUCUGGCUUUUGCACUGGACACCAUCCCCGGCUCCUUGACUUCGAAUGAACUCUCAUUGAUAAGGAUUCAGUAUGGAGUUCCUCCGGAGUACGAGCUGGAGCUUCCCGGGCCAAC